GAUCCGGUAGCUCAGUUGGCAGAGCAAUUGCCUUUUAAGCAAUGGGUCCGGGGUUCGAAUCCCCGCCGGGUCACCA
RNAcentral lists this transfer RNA (76 nucleotides) under Oscillibacter sp. RNAcentral's name for it is "tRNA-Lys". It matches the Rfam family "tRNA". Rfam says of the family: Transfer RNA (tRNA) molecules are approximately 80 nucleotides in length. Their secondary structure includes four short double-helical elements and three loops (D, anti-codon, and T loops). Lineage: Bacteria; Bacillati; Bacillota; Clostridia; Eubacteriales; Oscillospiraceae. The record is from RNAcentral.